This 274-nucleotide ribosomal RNA is filed under the name uncultured bacterium. Its description in RNAcentral is "partial 16S ribosomal RNA". It matches the Rfam family "Bacterial small subunit ribosomal RNA", at positions 523 to 796 of the family's 1533-position model. The record is from RNAcentral.
AUACGGAGGGUGCGAGCGUUAAUCGGAAUUACUGGGCGUAAAGCGCGCGUAGGCGGUUUGUUAAGUCGGAUGUGAAAUCCCCGGGCUCAACCUGGGGCCUGCAUCCGAUACUGGCAGGCUAGAGUCUGGUAGAGGGGGGUAGAAUUCCUGGUGUAGCGGUGAAAUGCGUAGAUAUCAGGAGGAAUACCAGUGGCGAAGGCGGCCCCCUGGACUGAGACUGACGCUGAGGUGCGAAAGCGUGGGGAGCAAACCGGAUUAGAAACCCCAGUAGUCC